RNAcentral lists this ribosomal RNA (498 nucleotides) under uncultured Ruminococcus sp. Its description in RNAcentral is "bacterial SSU rRNA". It matches the Rfam family "Bacterial small subunit ribosomal RNA", at positions 8 to 521 of the family's 1533-position model. The record is from RNAcentral. Lineage: Bacteria; Bacillati; Bacillota; Clostridia; Eubacteriales; Oscillospiraceae.
AGAGUUUGAUCCUGGCUCAGGACGAACGCUGGCGGCACGCUUAACACAUGCAAGUCGAACGGAGAACAUUGAGCUUGCUUAAUGUUCUUAGUGGCGGACGGGUGAGUAACACGUGAGUAACCUGCCUCUGAGAGUGGGAUAGCUUCUGGAAACGGAUGGUAAUACCGCAUAACAUCAUGGAUUCGCAUGUUUCUAUGAUCAAAGAUUUAUCGCUCAGAGAUGGACUCGCGUCUGAUUAGAUAGUUGGUGAGGUAACGGCCCACCAAGUCGACGAUCAGUAGCCGGACUGAGAGGUUGACCGGCCACAUUGGGACUGAGACACGGCCCAGACUCCUACGGGAGGCAGCAGUGGGGAAUAUUGCACAAUGGGGGAAACCCUGAUGCAGCGAUGCCGCGUGGAGGAAGAAGGUUUUCGGAUUGUAAACUCCUGUCGAAGAGGACGAUAAUGACGGUACACUUUAAGAAAGCUCCGGCUAACUACGUGCCAGCAGCCGCGGU